RNAcentral lists this ribosomal RNA (471 nucleotides) under uncultured soil bacterium. Its description in RNAcentral is "bacterial SSU rRNA". It matches the Rfam family "Bacterial small subunit ribosomal RNA", at positions 26 to 518 of the family's 1533-position model. The record is from RNAcentral.
AGGACGAACGCUGGCGGCGUGCUUAACACAUGCAAGUCGAGCGGUAAGGCCUUUCGGGGUACACGAGCGGCGAACGGGUGAGUAACACGUGGGUGAUCUGCCCUGCACUUCGGGAUAAGCCUGGGAAACUGGGUCUAAUACCGGAUAUGACCUCCUAUCGCAUGGUGGGUGGUGGAAAGAUUUAUCGGUGCAGGAUGGGCCCGCGGCCUAUCAGCUUGUUGGUGGGGUAAUGGCCUACCAAGGCGACGACGGGUAGCCGACCUGAGAGGGUGACCGGCCACACUGGGACUGAGACACGGCCCAGACUCCUACGGGAGGCAGCAGUGGGGAAUAUUGCACAAUGGGCGAAAGCCUGAUGCAGCGACGCCGCGUGAGGAUGAGGCCUUCGGGUUGUAAACCUCUUUCAGCAGGACGAAGCGCAAGUGACGGUACCUGCAGAAGAAGCACCGCUAACUACGUGCCAGCAGCCGC